CCUACGGGAGGCAGCAGUGAGGAAUAUUGGUCAAUGGACGCAAGUCUGAACCAGCCAUGCCGCGUGCAGGAAGACGGCUCUAUGAGUUGUAAACUGCUUUUGUACGAGGGUAAACGCAGAUACGCGUAUCUGUCUGAAAGUACCGUACGAAUAAGGAUCGGCUAACUCCGUGCCAGCAGCCGCGGUAAUACGGAGGAUUCAAGCGUUAUCCGGAUUUAUUGGGUUUAAGGGGUGCGUAGGCGGUGGGAUAAGUUAGAGGUGAAAUCCCGAGGCUUAACUUCGGAAUUGCCUCUGAUACUGUUAGGCUAGAGAGUAGAUGCGGUAGGCGGAAUGUAUGGUGUAGCGGUGAAAUGCUUAGAGAUCAUACAGAACACCGAUUGCGAAGGCAGCUUACCAAGCUACAUCUGACGUUGAGGCACGAAAGCGUGGGGAGCAAACAGGAUUAGAUACCCUAGUAGUC
RNAcentral lists this ribosomal RNA (460 nucleotides) under uncultured bacterium. RNAcentral's name for it is "partial 16S ribosomal RNA". It matches the Rfam family "Bacterial small subunit ribosomal RNA", at positions 338 to 795 of the family's 1533-position model. The record is from RNAcentral.